GGGGAAUUUUGGACAAUGGGCGCAAGCCUGAUCCAGCCAUGCCGCGUGCAGGAUGAAGGCCUUCGGGUUGUAAACUGCUUUUGUACGGAACGAAAAGGUGCCUUCUAAUAAAGGGCGCUCAUGACGGUACCGUAAGAAUAAGCACCGGCUAACUACGUGCCAGCAGCCGCGGUAAUACGUAGGGUGCGAGCGUUAAUCGGAAUUACUGGGCGUAAAGCGUGCGCAGGCGGUUUUGUAAGACAGGCGUGAAAUCCCCGGGCUCAACCUGGGAACUGCGCUUGUGACUGCAAGACUAGAGUACGGCAGAGGGGGGUGGAAUUCCACGUGUAGCAGUGAAAUGCGUAGAGAUGUGGAGGAACACCAAUGGCGAAGGCAGCCCCCUGGGUCGAUACUGACGCUCAUGCACGAAAGCGUGGGGAGCAAACA
RNAcentral lists this ribosomal RNA (426 nucleotides) under uncultured beta proteobacterium. Its description in RNAcentral is "bacterial SSU rRNA". It matches the Rfam family "Bacterial small subunit ribosomal RNA", at positions 356 to 774 of the family's 1533-position model. Lineage: Bacteria; Pseudomonadati; Pseudomonadota; Betaproteobacteria. The record is from RNAcentral.